GACAGAGGAUGCAAGCGUUGUUCGGAAUUACUGGGCGUAAAGCGCGCGUAGGUGGUCUUGUGUGUCUGGUGUGAAAGCCCUUAGCUCAACUAAGGAAGUGCGCUAGAAACUGCAAGACUUGAAUUCGGGAGAGGAUGGUAGAAUUCUCAGUGUAGAGGUGAAAUUCGUAGAUACUGGGAGGAACACCGGUGGCGAAGGCGACCAUCUGGACCGACAUUGACACUAAAGUGCGAAAGCGUGGGUAGCAAACAGG
RNAcentral lists this ribosomal RNA (253 nucleotides) under uncultured bacterium. RNAcentral's name for it is "partial 16S ribosomal RNA". It matches the Rfam family "Bacterial small subunit ribosomal RNA", at positions 524 to 776 of the family's 1533-position model. The record is from RNAcentral.